Molecule: non-coding RNA, 2151 nt
Organism: Mus caroli (Ryukyu mouse)
Lineage: Eukaryota; Metazoa; Chordata; Mammalia; Rodentia; Muridae
Source: RefSeq, a predicted model, not a curated record
GCCCAUCGUGAAGACCACAGUUUCCUGUCGCGUGGAUGUGUUUCCUCUCUGGCCGUUGCCAUCCGCUCAAAUCUACAGGCAUCCCGCAUGUUCCCGGGCUCGUCUCCCCAAUACAGGGCACCAAGCAUCCUACCAAGGCGAAUCCAUUGACCCGGGUUUAAGUUGAGGACUCCCCCAGGACCCCGAGUGCAGCAUCUGGAUCCCCCUGCCCUGCCCUGCCCUGCCCUGCCUUGCGCUGCAGCCACUUCCGUUGUCCUGCCAGGCUGUAGACUGCGCAGACCUCCUGGAGACAGAUGGAAGUUCCUUGGGUCGACAGAUUACAGCUUCUGGAGCCCCCGACUCCCUUCAACUCCGUGAUGGACACCCACUGUCCAGGGAGAGGAUGCCUGGAAAUAACAGCCGGGAUCUACAGUGGCCAUAAGAGUUGUCUCUGUCUUGCUACAUAGACAAACUGGUGUUCCUGAGUGAGGAUUGUGCCCUGAGAUGGGGGAUUCAGUUUCUUCAUUUAUAGUUGGAAGUGUGUGAAGGUAAGGUGAGGCUGGGUUCUUUGAGGUGUGCCUGCUUGUUGCUGUACCCACUUGGGAUCUGUGUCUUGUGUGUCCUGUGUUCCCACUGUUGCUUCUGUACCCCUCUGCUUUACUCUGGUGGGUAGAGAGCAGAAUGGAAAGGAGCCAGAAGAUUUUGGGGGUCAUAUGCACCAUUCAGAUUUCAGCCACUGCUCUCUGCUGGCUUCCGGGCCUUGUCUGGUUCUUGACUUCAUCAUCUGAAAAAUGGGACUACCUCUGUGACAUAAGAGCCCAGUCACUUCAGUUCUGCCAGCUGGGCAGGUUGCAUUGAUCUAAGACAGCAAGUGCUGAGCCUACUGCAGGUCUCGUGGCCAGUGCUCAUUAGAACUGUCACCUCCUCCCAGCCAGUCUUCCGAGCUCUCCUUAAGGAACAGCUGUUGCUCAGUUAGGAGCAGCCUCUUUCCUUUGUUGGCUAUCUGGCUGUUGCCUGUCUGUCUGUCUCUUUCCAGUUUAACCAUUACCCAGCUCUUGGCCAUAGUCUUCCUUGCCCUCUGCCCCUGUAUUCGAAAGUGAUUGUGGGCUGCCAGUGCCCUGGUCAUUGAUACUGCAGGGAGAGGAUUUGGAAAGCCUUUCCCCGUGUUUGGAGGAUCCACACUUGUCCUUGCCAAACCCUGAUGCUUUCCCACAUUGCCCGCUGCCUGCCAUUCUGGCACUUCUGUGAAGCAGUGGUAGGGAGCUCAGACAGUGGCUGCUUCCUUCAGAUCCUUUCUCAGCCUCCACACCCAGUUGUCACUUCUUCAGGACACUUGAGAACUUGUAGAAAAUGUCCUGUUGCUUGACUUCUAGAAUGCAUCUUGCUGUGUUCUGUUAGUCAAGAGGCAGGGUUCUGACUGAACAAAUGAACAACCAAGGCACAGUCACUUUCUGUAAGGCAUUGUUGUGUGUAAACUGGGUAAACAGCCUGACAGGGAGGCCCGGGAGGAAGCAGAUUUGCCGUUUUGCCUCCUUGAAUUCUCCUUGAAUUCUUCCCUCGUGGCCUGCUUUUGACUCUUGCCUUAGGAGUAGCCACUUGGGAAGGGUUUUUCUCUCCACUCUGUGACAACAGGCAAGAGUGAGGGUCCAACAAUACAGAGGAAGUGACGUGUCGCUGCUACUCUUCCAUGCCCAGUGCCAGGAGCGACGGUACACUCCAGAGUGCUGUGCCCUGAUGGGCCUUUGAGCGGCCAGUGCAGUGGAUCAUCAGCCCUGUCUCCCAAGAGCUCCAGUCCCUUCUCCGGGGAGGAAGUGGGUCCACUGGCAGCUCAGGAGGCCAUAGCAGGAUUGUCACGUGUGCUCAACAGUCCUCGGCUUUCCAGAAGAUGCUGGAACAGGGCCCUUGAAGAUGUUUGUGGACACCAGAGGGCCAAAGAAGACAAAGUGAAACUGGAGACACCGCCCCCCUUGGCAUCAUGAAACUGCCGAUUUUACUGGCUCAUGCAUGGGAGACACCAGCAUACAAAGUCUUGACACCAACACCUCAGAGGGCUGUGUUCUGUCCCCGUGACCAUCAGCCAGUGCCUGGAAAGACUAGUGACAAGAACUUGUUGCCAACUUCCUCUUACCUCCCUAACAGUUGUGCAUGCAAUAAACCCCAUAGGUUAAUUCA